GGGGAGCCUCUACAGGUGUUGCAUGGCUGUCGUCAGCUCGUGUCGUGAGAUGUCGGUUAAGUCCGCUAACGAGCGCAACCCUCGACCUUAGUUGCCAGCAUUCAGUUGGGCACUCUAAGGUGACUGCCGGCUAAAAGUCGGAGGAAGGUGGGGAUGACGUCAAAUCAUCAUGCCCUUAUGGCCUGGGCUACACACGUGCUACAAUGGGCGGUACAAAGGGUCGCGAACCCGCGAGGGGGAGCCAAUCCCAAAAAGCCGCUCUCAGUUCGGAUUGCAGGCUGCAACUCGCCUGCAUGAAGCCGGAAUCGCUAGUAAUCGCGGAUCAGCAUGCCGCGGUCGAAUACGUUCCCGGGCCUU
RNAcentral lists this ribosomal RNA (357 nucleotides) under uncultured Anoxybacillus sp. RNAcentral describes it as "bacterial SSU rRNA". It matches the Rfam family "Bacterial small subunit ribosomal RNA", at positions 1023 to 1382 of the family's 1533-position model. The record is from RNAcentral. Lineage: Bacteria; Bacillati; Bacillota; Bacilli; Caryophanales; Anoxybacillaceae.